AAGUCGUAACAAGGUUUCCGUAGGUGAACCUGCGGAAGGAUCAUUAGUGAAUAUUAGCGCAUCUCUUCGGAGAGCGUGACCUCCACUUUCUAACUCUGUGCAUUUAUUUGGCGGUUCCGAUAACAAGACUUUAUUGUCUGGCUUGACGAACUGCGGCUCAUUUUAUAACACUAGUUAAAGUAUGUAACGAAAUAUCGAAACAAAAAAAAACUUUCAACAACGGAUCUCUUGGCUUGCU
This 238-nucleotide unclassified non-coding RNA is filed under the name Leucosporidium golubevii. RNAcentral describes it as "partial internal transcribed spacer region". The stretch from base 1 to 46 matches the Rfam family "Eukaryotic small subunit ribosomal RNA", at positions 1786 to 1831 of the family's 1831-position model. Lineage: Eukaryota; Fungi; Basidiomycota; Microbotryomycetes; Leucosporidiales; Leucosporidiaceae. The record is from RNAcentral.